RNAcentral lists this ribosomal RNA (427 nucleotides) under uncultured bacterium. RNAcentral describes it as "bacterial SSU rRNA". It matches the Rfam family "Bacterial small subunit ribosomal RNA", at positions 355 to 774 of the family's 1533-position model. The record is from RNAcentral.
UGGGGAAUUUUGGACAAUGGGGGCAACCCUGAUCCAGCCAUUCCGCGUGAGUGAAGAAGGCCUUCGGGUUGUAAAGCUCUUUCGGCAGGAACGAAACGGUGGUCCCUAAUACGGGCUACUAAUGACGGUACCUGAAGAAGAAGCACCGGCUAACUACGUGCCAGCAGCCGCGGUAAUACGUAGGGUGCGAGCGUUAAUCGGAAUUACUGGGCGUAAAGCGUGCGCAGGCGGUUCCAUAAGACAGAUGUGAAAUCCCCGGGCUUAACCUGGGAACUGCGUUUGUGACUGUGGGACUGGAGUGUGGCAGAGGGGGGUGGAAUUCCACGUGUAGCAGUGAAAUGCGUAGAGAUGUGGAGGAACACCGAUGGCGAAGGCAGCCCCCUGGGUCAACACUGACGCUCAUGCACGAAAGCGUGGGGAGCAAACA